This 284-nucleotide ribosomal RNA is filed under the name uncultured bacterium. Its description in RNAcentral is "partial 16S ribosomal RNA". It matches the Rfam family "Bacterial small subunit ribosomal RNA", at positions 30 to 334 of the family's 1533-position model. The record is from RNAcentral.
AUUGAACGCUGGCGGCAUGGCUAAAGCAUGCAAGUUGCACGAGAACCACUUCGGUGGGGACAGUGGCGGAAGGGCGAGGAAUACGAUCGAACGUACCCCAAGGUGGAGGAUAGCGUCGGGAAACUGACGGUAAUACUUCAUGUGCUCGUAAGAGGAAAGCUCCGGCGCCUCGGGAGCGGCGAUCGUCCUAUCAGGUAGUUGGUGAGGUAAAGGCUCACCAAGCCGAAGACGGGUAGCGGGUGUGAGAGCAUGACCCGCCGCAUCGGGACUGAGACACUGCCCGG